Molecule: long non-coding RNA, 652 nt
Filed under: Struthio camelus australis
Lineage: Eukaryota; Metazoa; Chordata; Aves; Struthioniformes; Struthionidae
Description: lncRNA (ENSSCUG00000001082.1)
Source: RNAcentral
GGGAAGGAGCAAUAAGGCUAUCGAUAAUAGCAAUAAUACUUGAAAAGUAGGAACCUGCCUGACCAGCCUGGCACCCAGAACCGCCAUCUGCUGAUCUCCAAGCAUGGACCACAAGAGGGAGCAUUUUGUUCAGUUUAUUGGCAAAGACUAUUUUUCCCUAUGUGAAGCAGAGAGGAAAAACCCAGUUUCUGGUUAGAUCUUGAUGUCUUCGCUCCAUUUUCAGUUGCAAGUGAAGCUGCCAAAUAAGGUCAAGUACAAGAAUGUCAGUAAUGCGGGAUCAAAUGCAUGAUCGACUGGAUGAUCUGCUAUCAUGGUGUGACAGCUAUCAUUUACCACUGAGCACUCAACAAGGAUCGGGAGUGUCGGCCACAGAACAUCUGCUGCAUUUCCUCCCAAGAAUGAAUUACACCACGAGUGGAUCCUCCAGUGAUACUAUAGCUGGAAUCAGCUGAGGGAGAUAGCACUAAAAGCCGUGCAACUUUCCACAGAGGAGAGAGAACGGAAGACAUCUCACUUCAUCAGCCAAAAAUCACUGCUUAUUAACUAACCUGAAGUGAAUUAGAACAACUGAUUUACUCAGAAUUUGACCGUCAUAGCAAGGGAAGAGUUUUUUUGCAAUAAAAAAAAUUCAGUCUUUUCUAAAAUGGUGCUU